CGCUGGCGGCAGGCUUAAGACAUGCAAGUCGAGCGGAAACGAUGGGAGCUUGCUCCCAGGCGUCGAGCGGCGGACGGGUGAGUAACGCGUAGGAAUCUGCCCAGUAGCGGGGGAUAGCUCGGGGAAACUCGAAUUAAUACCGCAUACGCCCCACGGGGGAAAGGCCGGGAUCUUCGGACCGGUCGCUACUGGAUGAGCCUGCGUUGGAUUAGCUUGUUGGUGGGGUAAAGGCCUACCAAGGCGACGAUCCAUAGCUGGUCUGAGAGGAUGAUCAGCCACACCGGAACUGAGACACGGUCCGGACUCCUACGGGAGGCAGCAGUCGGGAAUAUUGGACAAUGGGGGCAACCCUGAUCCAGCCAUGCCGCGUGUGUGAAGAAGGCCCUAGGGUUGUAAAGCACUUUAAGUUGUGAAGAAGGCUGUACGGUUAAUAGCCGUGCGGAUUGACAUUAGCAACAGAAUAAGCACCGGCUAACUCCGUGCCAGCAGCCGCGGUAAUACGGAGGGUGCAAGCGUUAAUCGGAAUUACUGGGCGUAAAGCGCGCGUAGGUGGUUUGUUAAGUGAGAUGUGAAAGCCCAGGGCUCAACCUUGGAACUGCAUCUCAUACUGGCAGGCUAGAGUAUGGUAGAGGGAGGUAGAAUUCCACGUGUAGCGGUGAAAUGCGUAGAGAUGUGGAGGAAUACCAGUGGCGAAGGCGGCCUCCUGGACUAAUACUGACACUGAGGUGCGAAAGCGUGGGGAG
This 743-nucleotide ribosomal RNA is filed under the name uncultured Gammaproteobacteria bacterium. Its description in RNAcentral is "bacterial SSU rRNA". It matches the Rfam family "Bacterial small subunit ribosomal RNA", at positions 34 to 768 of the family's 1533-position model. Lineage: Bacteria; Pseudomonadati; Pseudomonadota; Gammaproteobacteria. The record is from RNAcentral.